This 50-nucleotide non-coding RNA is filed under the name Lentisphaerota bacterium. Its description in RNAcentral is "Lentisphaerae bacterium Li+-I sequence". It matches the Rfam family "nhaA-I RNA". Rfam says of the family: Acidobacteria, Alphaproteobacteria, Betaproteobacteria and Gammaproteobacteria, Verrucomicrobia, cand. division NC10. Downstream gene Lineage: Bacteria; Pseudomonadati; Lentisphaerota. The record is from RNAcentral.
GGGUGUGUCGGUGUGUUGGCACAGGUUAUAGGAUGGUCGGGCCGCUGUCC